RNAcentral lists this ribosomal RNA (571 nucleotides) under Klebsiella michiganensis. Its description in RNAcentral is "partial 23S ribosomal RNA". It matches the Rfam family "Bacterial large subunit ribosomal RNA", at positions 506 to 965 of the family's 2925-position model. Lineage: Bacteria; Pseudomonadati; Pseudomonadota; Gammaproteobacteria; Enterobacterales; Enterobacteriaceae. The record is from RNAcentral.
AGGGAAAGGCGAAAAGAACCCCGGCGAGGGGAGUGAAAAAGAACCUGAAACCGUGUACGUACAAGCAGUAGGAGCCCCACCACCAAAGCGUUUCGCUUUGCGUGGUGCGCAAAAUGCGUAACGACAGCGCGAUGGACGGUUAACGGAGCGUAAGCGACGUUCAACAUCAAAAAUCAGGCAGUGGAGCGUUUUGGGGUGGGGUGACUGCGUACCUUUUGUAUAAUGGGUCAGCGACUUAUAUUCUGUAGCAAGGUUAACCGUAUAGGGGAGCCGCAGGGAAACCGAGUCUUAACUGGGCGUUAAGUUGCAGGGUAUAGACCCGAAACCCGGUGAUCUAGCCAUGGGCAGGUUGAAGGUUGGGUAACACUAACUGGAGGACCGAACCGACUAAUGUUGAAAAAUUAGCGGAUGACUUGUGGCUGGGGGUGAAAGGCCAAUCAAACCGGGAGAUAGCUGGUUCUCCCCGAAAGCUAUUUAGGUAGCGCCUCGUGAAUUCAUCUUCGGGGGUAGAGCACUGUUUCGGCUAGGGGGUCAUCCCGACUUACCAACCCGAUGCAAACUACGAAUACCG